Molecule: long non-coding RNA, 8885 nt
Organism: Rattus norvegicus (Norway rat)
Lineage: Eukaryota; Metazoa; Chordata; Mammalia; Rodentia; Muridae
Source: RefSeq, a predicted model, not a curated record
GUGUACCUUUACACUGAUCUCUCCCUUCGUCCCUGCUCCUCCAGGAAACAAGGGGUGGGUACAAACAAACAAACAGGGGGGAAGAAAAAGGAAGAAAACGAUCUGUCACUCCUUACUUUGUUCCCGAGUUCCUGUCACUCUUUUUUUUUUUCCCCAUUUGUCCUCUCAUCAAAAUCACUAAAUGAAAUGCAUACCCCUCAGCCUGUUUCAGUCUCCCCAGGGCUGAAGCUGUAUUGGUUUCACUUGGCUAUUUGGCAAACCUUGCUGAGAAAUGCUUCAGGAGCUGACUAGAGAAAUAACUUGAGUGCAAAGAAACUCUUGUAUGUUGAAGGACUACCCACCACUCCCUGACACCCCAGGGCCCCUACCCUAUUCCUCACCCACCUCCUCCCACCUCCACCCCGCCAGAGCCUUGUCAUUGAGUCCUAGCCUCCUUCCAUAUUUGGGCAGAAUUAUUAGGCGUUUAUCUAUCGCCUUUUUCCUUGCCCUGGAAUAUAAAGACAGUAGCCCCGAGAUUAAGAUGGAGAAGCAAAGGGUUGGGGAUUUAGCUCAGUGGUAGAGCGCUUGCCUAGGAAGCGCAAGGCCCUGGGUUCAGUCCCCAGCUCUGAAAAAAAGAACCAAAAAAAAAAAAAAAAAAAAAAGAUGGAGAAGCAAAAAGCUUUUGCAUGCAGUUAGAAUCCUGUUCACUGCUGUUUGGAAACAACCCUCCCUCCCCUUGCUCACAUGCCUUAACUGAGUUGAAUCCCUAAGGCUAACAAAGUUACAACUCAACCUUAAUCUUAAGCAAGCUCAGAGACGAACAGCAUCACAUGGUUGAAAAACAUACACAACACCAAAGCCUAGGAACACCUUGAUCCCUUGCCUAGGGUGUGCGUGUUUGUUCCAGAAAGUGAACUAACUGGGCUCGAGGUGUUUUCCGAUGAUAAACAGUAUUUAUCAAGGACAAGGGAGGUAGGACUCUCACUAACUUUAGUUUCUCAGUGCCUGUAGCAGGCAUCUGAGAAAAUCCUAGCUUGAUGGUAUGAAAUAUCAAAAUAUUUACCGAAAGUGCAUAUAUUCAUAUUGUUAAAUAGUGUGGUAUGUAGCAACAUAAGAUUUAAAAUUUUGUAUGUAUAGGGUUGGGUUUUUUUUUUCGUUGUCGUUUUUGCCACACGUGUGCCUGCUGCAGGUAGAGGCCAGAAGAGGGUGUCAGAUGCCUUAGAACUGGAGUCAAGAGUUGUAAGCUGCCAUUUUGGUUCUCGGACUGAAACUCGUUCCUCUGAUACUAACCACCAAGCCAUCUCUUCAGCCCCAGCUACAUAAGAUUUGAGGAGAACCAGAGAUGGUGCCAGGCCUGACAACCUGAGUUCAAUAGCAGAACCCACACAGUAGAAAAAGAACCAGUUCGGACCUCCCCUGUGCCCCCAGUACUCACUCCAGAGACACCCGAAAUAACCUCUUUAGAUGUAAAAAGUUACUAUUGUUUUUAAAUCUUGAGAUCUGAAAGGAAGAGAGGAGGCCGCUAAGGGUCAGAGGGUGUUGACUUGGGAUGUCUCAGAGGAGGCAAUGCUGAUAUUUAUUUGGGGUUGUCUAUGGAGUAAUUGAAUUUUUAAUUAAGAAAAGCCCCGUGGACAGUUCUGUGUCUUGUUCCCUGCACAGCUAUUGUUUCUUUUUAAUUUGCAGCGCUCAGCUCAGACCACUUGUUUGUUCUGUGUUAGGCCAAAAAUCUGUUUAACUUUGGCAGUGGCAGCUGCUUCCUGGGCCUAUAGCCAAGGCGUAUUCUGAAUUGGCUGCCUCCUGGAGAGGGUUGUUUAUAACCUUUCACCUGGUAUUCUGAUAACAAUCUGUCCCUCUUCACACACACACACACACACACACACACACACACACACACACACACACACACGCUUACACUCACACACGCAUGUCCCCGUCUCAGUUCUUGGAUGGAAGAAAGAAAAAAAGUCUUAUAAACUCCCGCCCUACAAAACCAGCACAAAGGCUGUGGGUACAGAGAGACAAGGACAGAAGUGCCCAGGAGGAGCGUAGGUUUGCAAGUUAAGUCACAGCACCUGUAGGAAACCAAUGGGGUUUGCCCUGUGUUUAUUUUACUCUAAGACAACCAGGUAGUCAAAGCCUUCAGCCUUGUGGACAGGAAGUAAAGCCAGGGCUGUAUUUCAUUAUUCUGUCACCUCUGGCCUUGCAGAGAUUUCGAGCUGGGAAUGCAAAACAGUUUGUUUUCACAGGACUUCACAGAACGAUGUCUGGCAGGCUUCAAGCUCACAGAGAUCCACCUGUCUCUGCCUCCCUAGUGCUGGAACUAAAUGAGAGUCCCGGCCCUCUCCCAGCUGAAAUUCAUCAGCACAUUAACCCAGUGGCUCACAGAAAGGAGCAACAGUGAUUCGCCCGAGGUCACAGUUUUUGUAAGUCCAUCCAGAAUUUCAACCUGGGACUAUCUGUUCUGUGCAGGCAGCUGACUCACUCGUGUAACCCCAGUCCUGGGAGAGUAAGGCAGAAGAGGGAUUGCCACUGCUCUAAGACUAGCCUGGGCUACAUAGUAAGACAUUUAAUAUUAUUUACAAAAGAACGAUAUUCAGAUGGACAGAACGAAAAGCAACCAAAGAAGAGGCUCAAUGGGUUGGAGAGUCGGCUCAGUGAUGAGGAGAAAUUGCUGUUGCCAAGGACCCAGGUUUGGUUUCCCAGCACCCACACGGAGUGCCAUACGUCCGCAGGCACCAGGCACAGGGGUGAGACCAUGCCUCUUGGUGCUUUGACACGUUCCUUGCUUGAUCUUUGUAAUGGCAUUGUACAGGACACAGGGCAAGCAAGACUCUCAGAGUUUUAGACUUAAAGGGGACUCUAAACAGUUCCCUUAUUUUGGUUCCCAGACACGCCCUCAGAUAACCAGCUAAUAUCUGGUUGGAGCCAUUCCUGAACUCGCUCUGAUGAUUGUGGUGCCUGUUUUCAAGGUUUCAUCACAGGCACCUAGAACAAAGGCCGAUAAGAAGGGACUCCUGUGUAAAAUACUCCUCUGGAACCCCAUGGUUCCCGCUGAUGAGGGGCCGAAGUCCCAGAGCUCAGCUGAUCUUCCUGCCUCUGCCUCUUGUGUGCCAGGAUGGCCACUGCACCAGGCUGGCUUGAGACUUGAGAAAGAUUCUCGUAAGUCAGCUUUAUCGGUUUGGCUUCACUCUCCGUCCUUUCCUGAGAAGGCGGUGGUUCUCAGCCUUCCUAAUGCUUGACCCUUUAAUACAAUCCCUCAUUCCGUUAUCUCGUUGCUACUUCCUAACUGUAAUUUUGCUAUUGUUGUGAAUUGUAAAUAUCCGAUAUGGGUUGGGGAUUUAGCUCAGUGGUAGAGCGCUUGCCUAGCAAGUGCAAGGCCCUGGGUUCGGUCCCCAGCUCCGAAAAAAAAAAGAAAAAGAAAAAGUAAAUAUCUGAUAUAUAGGCUAUCGAUGUAGGACCCUGGGGUGGGGGGAGGCCCACAAGUUGAGAAACACUGCUCUGGUCGGUUUUCUUCAAUGUUUCUAGAAGACAUCAAAGUGAGGUUUCUUUAACAGCUAUGUACAUUAAAACCAUCAUUUAGAGAACUGGACAUUCGUCUGGACUUUUGGUCUUUAUUCUUUUCUUCUUUGCUAGCAAUUCUGUCUUGUUUCUUUUCUUUUCUCUCGGAGCUUUUCCCAAGGAUGUUUGCCUUGGUGAUCUCCCUGUCUCUCUUUAAUUUUUAGGCUUGUUUUUAGUGUUUUGUGUGUGUGAGUGUUUUGCCUGCAUGUACGUCUGUGCACUACAUUCGUGCCUGGUGCUGGGAAAGUGUCAAACCUCCAUCAGGGUGCUGGAAAACCAAACCUGGGUCCUUUGCAGCAACAACAACAAUUUCCCCCAACCACUGAGCCGACUCUCCAACCCACCCGGCCUCUUCUGUGUUUGCUUUUCAUUCUCAUCUGUAUAUUAAUCUUUUGUAAAUAAUAUUAAACCAGUGGGUGACAGAGAGAUGGCUUCGUGGUUAAGAGUCCGUAUUGCUUUUCCAGAGGACCUAGUAGAAGAGACCAGGCUCCAUUCCUAGCACCCACAUGGUACCUCACAACCUCUGUAACUCCAGGUCCAGAGGAUCGGCACACACAUAGUACACAGGCAUACAUACAGGCGAAGCAACACGUACACAUAAAAUAAAAAUAAUAAAUCUAAAAACAAACAAAACAACAACAACAACAACAAAAACCUCCACAAAACCCACAAAACCAGGACCCGGGGCUGUAAUUCCAGCCUAGCAUGCAUGAAGCCCUAGGCUUGAUCAGCAUUCAAGAGGCAUAGAAAGAAGAAUCACACCAGGUGGUGGUGGUGGUGGCUGCUGUGGCAAGCUGAUUUCUGAGUGCAAGGCUAGCCUGGUCUACAGAGUGAGUUCCAGGACAGUCAGGGCUACACAGAGAAACUAUCUCCAAAAACAAACAAACAAACAAACAAACAAACAAACAAACAAACCAAACAAAACUCAGAAGUUCAAAGUGAGUUUGAGUCCAAAAAGUGUUAUACUGUGUAACUAGCCUAUCUCCAGCAUUCUAGUCGCAUCUCAAAUUCAACUUAUCAAGUAAUAGUAUGUGUCUGCCCCCACAACCCCUAUACACUAGCAUGUUUCCUUUUUUUUAAAAAGUGGGGGAGAUAGAAGGAUAUAGGGCCUUUAGCUCUGAUCUUUUGAUCUUCCUGUGUACAUGUUCCAAUAUAUUCACACCCACCUUAGACUUCUUAACAGUUUUUUAAAGCUAAUCUCCCCACUGUAAUCUAUAGAUUACAGCUAGAUUAAUACAACAUCCCCCUGCCCCCGCCAGCCCCUGUGAUUAUCCAAAGUCCUGUGCUUACUGAAUGUCAUCCAAAUGUCCAUCCUGCAUUUAAAAGUCUUUACAAUGUGGUCUCAGCUAAACGUGCCUGCUUCAUUUCCUACUGCUUCCUGAUCUACGUUUCCUGCUCUUCAGCCAAGCCUGGUACUCAGUGUUCUCCUACUAUCCCCUUCUUCCUUUGUGAAGUCCUUGCUUACGCUUCUCUCUCUACCUGGAACUCCCUCCCUCCUCAGCCCCAGCAUUUGAAACCCCAGGCCCCACCCUCCCAGUAGAUAGUCAAAUGGUAUUCCUUUCUGAAAUCUGGGUGCCAAGUGUUCUCAGGUUUUUAUUUUUUUUUUAUAUCCUCCCCAACAUGUUGUUCAUGCUUCCCAGGUCAGUUGUUCCCCCCCCCCCAAGGAUAACAAAUUUCUAGAGAGCAGGACUAUGUCCUUUUCUUAGCUUUGCAUUCUUCCUAGCCCCUGUUGGAACACAGCUCCAAGUGUAAGUAGAGAGGGAGCUGGUGGGUUGGAGGACCUGUGAAGGAGAAUAGGCUAACACUUAGACCACUGUUUCACGACCAUGCAGACUUGUGGUCUUUCUUCCUUUUGUGGUUAAUGUCAAGUUUUACACUUUAAUUCCAGUUCUUCCCUCCUCAGAAUCUAGGACGGAUCAGUUGUAUAUCAGUGGACGGGGUGAAGGCGGUGAGGGAGGAUGGUGUAGUUUUCAACAAGGCUGUGUUGACGUAAUCGCUCCUGGGAGAUGGGACAGUUCGUCCUUAGCCUUUUCCGAAAACUUGUCCUUUUCCAAGAAAUUCUUUCUUCAAUAAUUCAGGAACCCAGUUGGCUCAGCCCUGCCACCCAGUGGUUUAGUUAAAUACAUUAACAAGAUCCUCCAUCGAAGAAUUACCACAAACACAGGAGCCUUUGUGGUGACCUGACUCCUGACCUAGAACACUCCGACAAAUGGCAAAGAUGAGUCUUGUUUUUAAAGAUUUAUUUAUUAUAUAUAAGUACACUGCAGCUGUCUUCAGACACACCAGAAGAGGGCAUCAGAUCUCAUUGUUGAUGGUUGUGAGCCACUGCAUGGUGGGAUUUGAACUCAGGACCUCUGAAGAACAGUCAGUGCUCUUAAUCACUGAGCCUGAUUGUGAGAAAAAGAAACUAAAUAUACAGCAGUCUCCGUCUCUUGCCUGGUUGGCAAUGAGCAGUAUUUCCUAUCUUAGCUUGUGUUUGAAAGGAAGAAAGAGAGAGAGAGAGAGAGAGAGAGAGAGAGAGAGAGAGAGAGAGAGAGAGAGAGAGAUUGAUUGACAGCUCACGGGUUAAAAGCACUGACUGCUCUUCUGGAGAAACCGUUUAAUUUCCAGCUUCCACAUGGCAGCUCACAACGGUCUAUAGCCCAGCUCCAAGUGACCUGACACCUCACACAGACACACACACAGGCAAAACAACAAUGCGCAUAGAAGAAAAAUUCUUUUUAAAAAGUUGCAAGCUGGGGAUCGGGGCACAGGACUUUAAUUCCAAUACUCUAAAGGCAGAGGGAGGUGGGUGUCUGUAAGCUCUAGGCCAGCCUGGUCUACAUAACGAGACUGUCUUAAGACAAAAAUUUCAAGACAGCUGAUUCUUAUCAGAGGCCGGCAGAUGAUGCGUCUGAGAAAGAACACAGUAAUCGGCAGGAUGUAACUGUGGUCACUCACAGCUUGCCCCCACACCAUCUGACAUAUGCCUUAUGUAUCUGUCCACAGUGCCCCUCUGGUCCUUCAGACACUAUACCACAUCCUUUGCACUUUUCUAUGAUUCCUCCAAACAGACUCAACUGGAACCUUGGUGUCAUAGUGGCAUGCUAAGCACCUCCAAUGCAUAUGAAUUUUUUUUUUUUUUUUUACCAACUCGGUAGUGCCUGUCUCUUGUCCCUAAACAGAGCUCCUCCAAGGUGUGAACCAUAUUAUCACAUGAUCCAACAGUUUAGGGAAUUCAGAAAUCUUAAAGAAUGAGUAUGAUCCCUGUCCUGGGAGGCUGAGGCAGGAGAAUUGCUAGAAGUUCCAGGCCAGUUUGGGACAGGGCAAAUCCCUGUUUUAAAACAGGAAACCAAAAGAAGGCUCACAGACAGAGAGGCAGCAUCUCAGUUUGUACAGCACUGCCUAGCAUGCACAAAGUCCUGAUCUCCAGCACCAAAGUGGGCCUGUUGGCACGGGUCUGUAAUCCUGGGUAGGGAGAUGGGAAGCCAAGAAUCAGAAGCUCAAGGGCAUCCUCUGAGUUCUAGGGCAGCCUGGACUACAAAAGAUCCCAUCUCAAAAAAAAAAAAAAAAAGGGUGGGGUAGGAUUAAAAUAAAAUACAUCCACAUUUUAGUUUCUAGAUUCUAGCCUAGUCAACCAAUGUCACCUAGGUUGGCUUUGAGAAAGUAGUAAUUCCACCUGCCUCUACCUCCCGGCCACCUCAGUAACAAAUAUAAGGCACUUUUUAUUGGAUCUUUUUAUUUAUAUUUCAAACAUUAUCCCCUUUCCCGGUUUCCCAUCCAUAAACCCCCACAUUUUUUUUUUUUAAAUAUGGCAGUGGUUCUCAACCUUCCUAAUGCUGCAACCCUUUAAUACAGUUCCUCAUGUUGUGGUGAACCCCAACCAUAAUAUUAUUUUUGUUGCUACUUCAUAUCUGUAAUUUUGCUACUGUUACGAGUUAUAACGUAAAUGUCUGUGUUUUCGUGGUCUUAGGCGACCCCUGUGACAGGGUCAUUCAAUACCCAAAGGGUCGGGACUCACAGGUUGAGAACCACUGGUCUGUAGCCCACUGUGCACCCUGCUGAUUGUCUGUAGAGUUGGCUGUCACAGAAGUAGGGCUAUGCGUUUGCUCACGAAGAAAAACCAAACCCCUGACACAGCCUCUUUCUGUUUCAGGUGAUUUAAUUUUAGCACAGGGCGUUCAGAUCUCAUCUAGAGUGGGGUGAAGCGGAAGAGAGAACGGAGACUGAUUAACUUAAUUUUUUAAAAAAUAUACAGAAUUGUCUUCAUUUCAAUGUGUAUGAAUACUUUUGCCUGCAUGUAUGCAAUGUACCAUGUGCACGAUUGGUGCCUAAAGAGACCUUAUUGUUUGUCUGCUACUAAAAGUUAUACACAACAACAAAAGAAAUGGACUGGCUGUGGCGUGAAUUGGAUCACCUUUAGUCCCAGCACUCAGGAGGCAGAGGCAGGUGGAUCUCUGUGAGCUUGAGGUCCAGGACAGCCAGGGCCACGCAGAGGGACCCUGUCUCAAAGGAACAAGUCUGUGAUGGUGGCCUUUACAUGCAGUCACAGAGGUCGGGAGGUGGAGGCACAAGAUCAACACUUGUCGGCAGCUCACCUGAGCUAAACUUCAGAGUCAGCUCCAGGCUGCUCCGGGCUGCAGUGUAAGACCUUGUUUAGAACGAACAGACCAAUAUGUACAAAUGACUUAGGUAAAUGCUUGAAGGCAGGAGAUGCACUAUAUAAAAGACAAGUGCAUGAAACUCUUGGUCUUAAAAACACUGGUUCUAUGAGCUAAUCACAGAAAAAUGUCCUGAAGGCAGCCUCGAUGUGCGUCAACAAUGGCAUAUUGAGGCCGAUUUAAUUAAUAUCGGAUUGAGGCUGGCUUUAAUUAUCUACCCUUCCUCUGUUUUCUUGCUUUCUCAGAGCCUAUCCUCCAUACACACACACACACACACACACACACACACACACACACACACACACACACGUGUGUCUGCCUGCCUGCUGUUUGGUUUUGCUUGUUUGUUUGAAAAAAAAGAAAAAAGGUCUCUUCCUCCACAGGUUCCCCUUCACUUGCUGCAUAGUAGAGGCUGGCCUUGAACUCCUGACCCUUCUGCCUCCUAAGCAUUAGGAUAUUAGGAACGUAAGUGUUCUCCAUCACACUGAUCUGGUUGUUCAUUUGCUUGCUUAUUCUGUUUUUUCUUUUUUUAAGAUUUAUUCAUUUAUUAUAUGUAAGUACACUCUCGCUGUCUUCAGACACACCAGAAGAGGGCAUUGGAUCCCAUUACAGAUGGUUGUGAGCCACCAUGUGGUUGCUGGGAUUUGAACUCAGGACCUCUGGAAGAGCAGUCAGUGGUCUUAACCGCUGAGCCAUCUCUCCAGCACC